RNAcentral lists this ribosomal RNA (1340 nucleotides) under uncultured bacterium. Its description in RNAcentral is "bacterial SSU rRNA". It matches the Rfam family "Bacterial small subunit ribosomal RNA", at positions 28 to 1387 of the family's 1533-position model. The record is from RNAcentral.
GACGAACGCUGGCGGCGCGCCUAACACAUGCAAGUCGAACGAGCGAGAGAAAGCUUGCUUUCUCAAGCGAGUGGCGAACGGGUGAGUAACGCGUGAGGAACCUGCCUCAAAGAGGGGGACAACAGUUGGAAACGACUGCUAAUACCGCAUAAGCCCACGACCCGGCAUCGGGUAGAGGGAAAAGGAGCAAUCCGCUUUGAGAUGGCCUCGCGUCCGAUUAGCUAGUUGGUGAGGUAACGGCCCACCAAGGCGACGAUCGGUAGCCGGACUGAGAGGUUGAACGGCCACAUUGGGACUGAGACACGGCCCAGACUCCUACGGGAGGCAGCAGUGGGGAAUAUUCGCCAAUGGGGGAAACCCUGAUGCACCGACCCCGCGUGGAAGAAGAAGGUCUUCGGAUUGUUAAACUCCUGUUGUUGAGGAAGAUAAUGACGGUACUCAACAAGGAAGUGACGGCUAAACUACGUGCCAGCAGCCGCGGUAAAACGUAGGUCACAAGCGUUGUCCGGAAUUACUGGGUGUAAAGGGAGCGCAGGCGGGAAGACAAGUUGGAAGUGAAAUCCAUGGGCUCAACCCAUGAACUGCUUUCAAAACUGUUUUUCUUGAGUAGUGCAGAGGUAGGCGGAAUUCCCGGUGUAGCGGUGGAAUGCGUAGAUAUCGGGAGGAACACCAGUGGCGAAGGCGGCCUACUGGGCACCAACUGACGCUGAGGCUCGAAAGUGUGGGUAGCAAACAGGAUUAGAUACCCUGGUAGUCCACACUGUAAACGAUGAUUACUAGGUGUUGGAGGAUUGACCCCUUCAGUGCCGCAGUUAACACAAUAAGUAAUCCACCUGGGGAGUACGACCGCAAGGUUGAAACUCAAAGGAAUUGACGGGGGCCCGCACAAGCAGUGGAGUAUGUGGUUUAAUUCGACGCAACGCGAAGAACCUUACCAAGUCUUGACAUCCCUUGACGAUGCUGGAAACAGUAUUUCUCUUCGGAGCAAGGAGACAGGUGGUGCAUGGUUGUCGUCAGCUCGUGUCGUGAGAUGUUGGGUUAAGUCCCGCAACGAGCGCAACCCUUGUGGUCAGUUACUACGCAAGAGGACUCUGGCCAGACUGCCGUUGACAAAACGGAGGAAGGUGGGGAUGACGUCAAAUCAUCAUGCCCUUUAUGACUUGGGCUACACACGUACUACAAUGGCGUUAAACAAAGAGAAGCAAGACCGCGAGGUGGAGCAAAACUCAGAAACAACGUCCCAGUUCGGACUGCAGGCUGCAACUCGCCUGCACGAAGUCGGAAUUGCUAGUAAUCGCAGAUCAGCAUGCUGCGGUGAAUACGUUCCCGGGCCUUGCACA